AUUGGCGAAACUACACUACAAAAACCACCGAAAUACCUAGCACAUCACUUAACAAUUGGAACAUUCCGGCCCCAAGCAACACAUCUUACAUGUCAAUUAGUAGAGCUAACAUCACUAGGCCUAAUCAUCUCGAAUUUGUAAUAAAGAGAGAUGACAUUCGUUUGUGAAAAAAAGAGGGCAUUCACAUCCCAAAUUUGAAAUGUAUGCAAUCAGCAUCACAAUAUAAUUUGCUGGAGUUUCUGUCCCUAUCGAUUCCUCAACAUUUGCACGAGCCCAGAUUUUGGCUGACUUCGUUGAAGGGUAGCCAAUUGUCUAGGUUUGGCCAUGGUCAAGGAGGCGGCCUCCGACAGGUACGACGACAGGUCAUGCUGUGUAGGGAUAUUUGUUUUGAAUUCGAAUAUCCCAUAGCUGUGGAUGACAAAUAGAAGUUCAGCCAACAUUACCACUAACAUAAUAGAGAAAAAUCCCUACCUAAAUAUCUAUAAUAUAACAAGUUCGGCUAAUCUGACCAAGUUUCUCAAUAGCGAUCAGCUAUUUUUAAUUAUAUGCAUUUCCAUAUAAUAUUCACUGUUUCUUAUCCGCAGGCACAUUUCUUACUCUACAUAUCUCUGCAAAUACUGACCUGUAGUGAUUUAUUAUGAAAAAUUUAUACUGUAAUUUUUUAUAAUUGAAGUUUCUUGGCUUGUAGUUCAAUUUUUAGUGACUGUUAAAACGGAUAAAACAUCUCUACCUAAAUCUCUAUAAUAUAACUACAAGUUAACAUAUUCAUGAAGAUGAAAAUUAACUGUCUCUCAUGAAGAUGGGUUCGGCGUUCACUUCAGUAGUCGUGAAGGAGGGCGGCUAGGGUUAUGGUACAAUCUCAAUUGAGUUGUAC
This 874-nucleotide long non-coding RNA is filed under the name Olea europaea (common olive). Its description in RNAcentral is "long non-coding RNA (OEUR_LNC003683)". The record is from RNAcentral. Lineage: Eukaryota; Viridiplantae; Streptophyta; Magnoliopsida; Lamiales; Oleaceae.